UGGCAGAAUAAUCACACUAGGAACUUAUUCAUUUAUUUAUGUUAGAUAUAUAAUCUAAAGUUAAUAUACUUUCUCUGGAAAAGUUUCUUACGUUUAUCUUCACAAGAAAAGGGAUACAUAUUUUAAAAAGGCGCGAAAGCAUAUAAAGCAAACAGAAUGAUAGAAAAUAACAUAUCUGGUGAAAGUGAUGAAGGAGAAAUAAAAUCAGAUUUUGAAGCGGAUUUCCAAGAAGAACUACAUAAUUUUCCCCAUAUUUUAAGAUUUAUUCAAAGAAUGCGUGAUCACAUUAAAAAACAAAACAAAAAGAUUGCCAAAUUACAAAAUAAACUCAGUGAACAUAAAAGUAAAAAAUUAAUGGAGAAGAAAACCUUGAUUGACUAUGGAACUCAAACGAAUCCAUUGGAAUAUGAAAAAGAAUCAUGUCAGGAUUGGAAUGUUAAUAAUGAUAAAACAUCAACUAGUAUUAUACAACAAGUUAAAGAAGUAGCUGAGUCUGCUUUGUUGCAAACUGGUUUUGUCUAUGAAGAAACUUCUGGUUUAUAUUAUGAUUACAACAGUGGAUAUUAUUAUGAUGCGAAACAAGGUUUAUAUUAUGAUGGUAAUACAGGUACAUAUUACUAUUAUGAUGAAACUAGUGGAACAUAUCAAUUCCAUAGUCAAGCACAAGUAACUGUGAAUGAAGCAGCUGCACAUGUGAAAAGCAAGAAGGAGCAGAAAACUAGAAAGACAACCAAGGAUGAGAGGAAAAAACGCAAACUUGCGGAAAGAGAAGAACAGUCGGAAGAUGAACUUGAGGACGGUGAAUGUUCAAGCAAUGAUAGUGACAGCAAUUCUAAUGACAUUACUCCAGAAUUAUGUACUAGUAGUGACAGUGACCAUGAGGAAGAUCAAGAUUUAGCGAAAACCUAUCCCCCAUGCAUGAGAAUCAUAGUUAAGGAAACCAAUCUAUCAAAAUUAAAAAUUGGGAGUCUAUUUUUUGUUGCAUAUACUGGUGGUUCAAUUGGUCGUGAAGGUGAUCAUUCUGUAGUAAUACCAGAUAUAAAUAUAAGUAAACAUCAUGCCCGCAUUUUAUAUAACGAAGAUAGAAAAAUAUACGAAGUCAUUGAUUUAGGAUCAAGAAAUGGCACGUUCUUGAAUGGUAAAAGAUUAUCUGUGGCUAAGCAAGAAUCUGAACCUCAUGAAGUUUCACAUGGUUCUAUUAUACAAGUUAGUACUACGAAAUUGUUGUGUCACAUUCAUAAUGGAAAUGAAACUUGUGGCCACUGUGAGCCAGGACUUGUUCAGCGAAGCAUUAACGCAGAAGAGAACAAAGCUUCUAAAAAAGACCAACACAAACAAGAAUUGAGACGGCUGAAGCAUAAGUUUGGCAUAGAAAAAGAUAAUGUCGCAAGUGCUAGUCAAUUAGCAUUGGGGUACCAAGACAGAGCGCAAAAUCGAAGACAGUGCAUUGGUUCUUUGAAUCAUCAUGCUAAAACACAACAAAGUUCAAUGGAUACAUCUAUAGCAAAAGACAACAGGGGAUUUAAAUUGCUAUCAAAAAUGGGCUGGUCUGAGGGACAAUCCUUAGGGAAGGAAAGAGAUGGACCGACUGAACCGGUACCUUUGACGAAUAAUCCGAGCAAAACCGGUCUCGGCGCGACCAGCGAAUUUCCUACAAUCGAGCUAGAUUCUACGACGGAAAAGAAGCAGGCGCUGUGGCGAAAGACCCAGCAACGUUACAAAGAAAUAACCGACCAUGCGAAAUAAUUGCACCGUGAACGUUUGUCGGGAAAAACGCUUGAUUUGCAUUGCACGCGCUUUUUCAUCGUCUGUCACGGGUGCUUCUCGCGCAAAACGCAUUACGUAAACGAGAAACCUAUGGUGAAUUAAGAAGAGGAACGCGUCUAGACAGAAGAUCUUAAAAAGGAACGUUUGUUUCCCUUUGCAGCGACGAGUUCUUCUCGAAGGCAGAGGAUAGGAAAGAAAGAAGAACGAAUGAAACGGGAUCCGUAUUGAGAUUUCUUGAGUUCUGCUAUAAAAGGCAGAUCGUCAUGGAGGAAAUUCGGUUCGAAUCGCUAGAAUUUCAUUGCACGGUGCAUUAAAAUGAUGGGUUCGUUCAACUGUGUUUACCUUCCAUUGCAACUUUGUGACAUUGUCCAACGUUUUAUCUUGCCUUUAUUUAUACGCGUCCCUUCGGACGCUUCUCAAGCUGAAAAGAAACCAAUUCCAUUCUGGAUUCAAUCUUUUGUCGCGAAAAAGUUUCUUGGAAGCAGUUUAAAAAGAUAAUUCGUAAAUUUUUACGAUGUUCAGGCUUUCUUUAGCCUUUUAACACUGCUGUUACUUUGUUUUAUAGCGGAUUCUCCUCUUUUCUUGCGAAAACGAGAAGUUUUAUUACUCUCUUAGUUGUGAAGUAUAAUAGCGAUAGUGAUUGCGUUUUAUAUUCCUUGAUGUUUCGUGAUGAAAAUGUUGGUAUAUUUUUAAGAGUAUUUUUUUACGAGUAGAAAGUUUCGCAAUAAAUUAUUUCUUUGCCUUAA
Bombus impatiens (common eastern bumble bee) is the source of this 2513-nucleotide RNA transcript. It is a transcript of the gene named angiogenic factor with G patch and FHA domains 1, with no coding region annotated. The record is from RefSeq and is a predicted model, not a curated record. The transcript has 10 exons. NCBI's taxonomy places the organism in Eukaryota, Metazoa, Arthropoda, Insecta, Hymenoptera, Apidae.